This 484-nucleotide ribosomal RNA is filed under the name uncultured bacterium. Its description in RNAcentral is "partial 16S ribosomal RNA". It matches the Rfam family "Bacterial small subunit ribosomal RNA", at positions 28 to 507 of the family's 1533-position model. The record is from RNAcentral.
AUUGAACGCUGGCGGCAUGCUUUACACAUGCAAGUCGAACGGCAGCGCGGGCUUCGGCCUGGCGGCGAGUGGCGAACGGGUGAGUAAUGCAUCGGAACGUGCCCAGUAGUGGGGGAUAGCCUGGCGAAAGCCGGAUUAAUACCGCAUACGACCUGAGGGUGAAAGCGGGGGACCGAAAGGCCUCGCGCUAUUGGAGCGGCCGAUGUCGGAUUAGCUAGUUGGUGGGGUAAAGGCUUACCAAGGCGACGAUCCGUAGCUGGUCUGAGAGGACGACCAGCCACACUGGGACUGAGACACGGCCCAGACUCCUACGGGAGGCAGCAGUGGGGAAUUUUGGACAAUGGGGGCAACCCUGAUCCAGCCAUGCCGCGUGCGGGAAGGAGGCCUUCGGGUUGUAAACCGCUUUUGUUCGGGAAGAAAUCCUCUGGGCUAAUACCCCGGGGGGAUGACGGUACCGGAAGAAUAAGCACCGGCUAACUACGUG